UUAGAGUUUGAUCCUGGCUCAGGAUGAACGCUAGCGGCAGGCUUAACACAUGCAAGUCGAGGGGCAGCGAGAUCAGUGCUUGCACUGAUUGUCGGCGACCGGCGCACGGGUGCGUAACGCGUAUGCAACCUACCCAUUACAGGGGGAUAACACUGAGAAAUCGGUACUAAUACCCCAUAACAUCCAGAGAGGCAUCUUCUUGGGUUGAAAACUCCGGUGGUAAUGGAUGGGCAUGCGUUGUAUUAGUUAGUUGGUGGGGUAACGGCUCACCAAGACAACGAUACAUAGGGGGACUGAGAGGUUAACCCCCCACAUUGGUACUGAGACACGGACCAAACUCCUACGGGAGGCAGCAGUGAGGAAUAUUGGUCAAUGGACGCAAGUCUGAACCAGCCAUGCCGCGUGCAGGAAGACGGCUCUAUGAGUUGUAAACUGCUUUUGUACGAGGGUAAACGCAGAUACGCGUAUCUGUCUGAAAGUAUCGUACGAAUAAGGAUCGGCUAACUCCGUGCCAGCAGCCGCGGUAAUACGGAGGAUUCAAGCGUUAUCCGGAUUUAUUGGGUUUAAAGGGUGCGUAGGCGGUCGGAUAAGUUAGAGGUGAAAUCCCGGGGCUCAACUUCGGAAUUGCCUCUGAUACUGUUCGGCUAGAGAGUAGUUGCGGUAGGCGGAAUGUAUGGUGUAGCGGUGAAAUGCUUAGAGAUCAUACAGAACACCGAUUGCGAAGGCAGCUUACCAAGCUACUUUUGACGUUGAGGCACGAAAGCGUGGGGAGCAAACAGGAUUAGAUACCCUGGUAGUCCACGCAGUAAACGAUGAUAACUCGUUGUCGGCGAUACAGUGUCGGUGACUAAGCGAAAGCGAUAAGUUAUCCACCUGGGGAGUACGUUCGCAAGAAUGAAACUCAAAGGAAUUGACGGGGGCCCGCACAAGCGGAGGAACAUGUGGUUUAAUUCGAUGAUACGCGAGGAACCUUACCCGGGCUUGAAAGUUAGUGACGGAUCUUGAAAGAGGUCUUCCCUUCGGGGCACGAAACUAGGUGCUGCAUGGUUGUCGUCAGCUCGUGCCGUGAGGUGUCGGGUUAAGUCCCAUAACGAGCGCAACCCCUACCGUUAGUUGCCAGCAGGUCAAGCUGGGCACUCUGACGGGACUGCCGGUGUAAGCCGAGAGGAAGGUGGGGAUGACGUCAAAUCAGCACGGCCCUUACGUCCGGGGCUACACACGUGUUACAAUGGCAGGUACAGAGGGCAGCUACCCAGCGAUGGGAUGCGAAUCUCGAAAGCCUGUCUCAGUUCGGAUUGGAGGCUGAAACCCGCCUCCAUGAAGUUGGAUUCGCUAGUAAUCGCGCAUCAGCCAUGGCGCGGUGAAUACGUUCCCGGGCCUUGCACUCACCGCCCGUCA
This 1398-nucleotide ribosomal RNA is filed under the name uncultured bacterium. RNAcentral describes it as "16S ribosomal RNA". It matches the Rfam family "Bacterial small subunit ribosomal RNA". The record is from RNAcentral.